AUUGAACGCUGGCGGCAUGCUUUACACAUGCAAGUCGAACGGUAACAGGCCGCAAGGUGCUGACGAGUGGCGAACGGGUGAGUAAUGCAUCGGAACGUGCCCAGUCGUGGGGGAUAACGCAGCGAAAGCUGUGCUAAUACCGCAUACGAUCUAUGGAUGAAAGCGGGGGACCGUAAGGCCUCGCGCGAUUGGAGCGGCCGAUGUCAGAUUAGGUAGUUGGUGGGGUAAAGGCUCACCAAGCCAACGAUCUGUAGCUGGUCUGAGAGGACGACCAGCCACACUGGGACUGAGACACGGCCCAGACUCCUACGGGAGGCAGCAGUGGGGAAUUUUGGACAACGGGCGCAAGCCUGAUCCAGCAAUGCCGCGUGCAGGAAGAAGGCCUUCGGGUUGUAAACUGCUUUUGUACGGAACGAAACGGUCUGGGUUAAUACCCUGGGCUAAUGACGGUACCGUAAGAAUGAGCACCGGCUAACUACGUGCCAGCAGCCGCCGUAA
RNAcentral lists this ribosomal RNA (498 nucleotides) under uncultured bacterium. RNAcentral's name for it is "partial 16S ribosomal RNA". It matches the Rfam family "Bacterial small subunit ribosomal RNA", at positions 30 to 523 of the family's 1533-position model. The record is from RNAcentral.